Priapulus caudatus is the source of this 379-nucleotide long non-coding RNA. RefSeq lists it as uncharacterized. The record is from RefSeq and is a predicted model, not a curated record. NCBI's taxonomy places the organism in Eukaryota, Metazoa, Priapulida, Priapulimorpha, Priapulimorphida, Priapulidae. The transcript has 2 exons.
AGCAGAAACAGUAGCAACAGCAGCAGCAGUAGCAGCAGCAGAAACAGUAGCAGUAGCAGUAGCAGUAGCGGCGGCUAGCGCCCGUCUAUACCCUCUCCCCGUGAGGAGGGGAGAAAUUAAAGACCAGCGUGUUGAUCAUACACAGCUGGGAGACCGCUGCUGCGAGGCGUGCCUCUCUCUCCCUCGCCCUCUCCCUCUCUCUGUCUCUCUACAUUCGUUCGGACUGUCUGUAUCACGGUGUGUGUGUGCUACGGAGGGAGAGAGAGCGCGUGAGAGCGCGCUCGGCGAGUGUUUUGUUCUUGGCAUUCAGGGGAAAGCGUUUGUGACUCCCCAGCGAUUCACGACGAAAAAGAUAAAAGAAAAGGAAAAAGAAGAAGAA